RNAcentral lists this ribosomal RNA (253 nucleotides) under uncultured Caldilinea sp. Its description in RNAcentral is "partial 16S ribosomal RNA". It matches the Rfam family "Bacterial small subunit ribosomal RNA", at positions 524 to 776 of the family's 1533-position model. The record is from RNAcentral. Lineage: Bacteria; Bacillati; Chloroflexota; Caldilineae; Caldilineales; Caldilineaceae.
UACGUAGGUGGCGAGCGUUAUCCGGAAUUACUGGGCGUAAAGCGCAAGCAGGCGGCGACUUAAGUCUGACGUGAAAUCUCCUGGCUUAACUGGGAGGGGACGUUGGAAACUGGGUUGCUUGAGGCGAUGAGAGGGGUGUGGAAUUCCCGGUGUAGUGGUGGAAUGCGUAGAUAUCGGGAGGAACACCAGAGGCGGAAGCGGCACCCUGGCAUUAGCCUGACGCUGAGAUGCGAAAGCGUGGGGAGCAAACGGG